Molecule: long non-coding RNA, 623 nt
Filed under: Mytilus galloprovincialis (Mediterranean mussel)
Lineage: Eukaryota; Metazoa; Mollusca; Bivalvia; Mytilida; Mytilidae
Source: RNAcentral
GUUUAUAAAACCAUAUUAGGAUGUAAAACUUAGCAGUUGGCAUGAAUAUUCAUUAUUGACAGCUGUUAUUAUAGCAGUUCUCAUGAAUAUUCAUUAUUUGAUAGCUGUUAUUAUAGCAGUUCUCAUGAAUAUUCAGAUCUCAUUUAAAUUUUUCGUUAAAAAUAACUGCCAAAGAACUGUGAAGGCUAAAUAAACUGCUAAGAAACAGCUAUGGAAUGCUAUUGGAAUGCCUUUAUGCAAAUUAAUCAUUGCCUUAUAUUUGGUAACUGUGAAUGCUAAUAAACUGCCAAAUAACUGCUGUCAAGUGGGAACUGUGAAUGCUAAUUAACUGCUAAAGAACUGCAGUUCACUUUGACUUGGGUUAACAUAAAGAUAUAACUUAACUUUUUUUGAGGCUGUAAUCCACGGGCGCUGUCUGGAUCCCAGGUCUUCUGAGUGUGUACCUGCAAGAGAAAACAAAGUGUCUAUUACUUUCACGUUAAUACGACAAUUUUGGGAAAAGGGUCCAUUAACAUAAAGAUAUAACUUAACUUUUUUUGAGGCUGUAAUCCACGGGCGCUGUCUGGAUCCCAGGUCUUCUGAGUGUGUACCUGCAAGAGAAAACAAAGUGUCUAUUACUUUCA